RNAcentral lists this ribosomal RNA (253 nucleotides) under uncultured bacterium. RNAcentral's name for it is "partial 16S ribosomal RNA". It matches the Rfam family "Bacterial small subunit ribosomal RNA", at positions 524 to 776 of the family's 1533-position model. The record is from RNAcentral.
UACGUAGGGGGCUAGCGUUGUCCGGAUUUAUUGGGCGUAAAGCGCGCGCAGGCGGCGGUGCUGGCCCGGCGUGAAAGCCCCCGGCUCAACCGGGGAGGGUCGUCGGGGACCGCACCGCUUGAGGGCGGUAGGGGCUGGUGGAAUGCCUGGUGUAGUGGUGAAAUGCGUAGAGAUCAGGCGGAACACCCGUGGCGAAGGCGGCCAGCUGGGCCGUCCCUGACGCUGAGGCGCGAAGGCGUGGGGAGCGAACGGG